Molecule: ribosomal RNA, 924 nt
Filed under: Triticum aestivum (bread wheat)
Lineage: Eukaryota; Viridiplantae; Streptophyta; Magnoliopsida; Poales; Poaceae
Description: partial small subunit ribosomal RNA
Source: RNAcentral
AUGGCCGGGCGCUUCGACCUCCAGGGCAGGCACGGCAAGUCCCGCGUCCGGGUCUCCCGCGUCUGGCGCCGCCCCGCCGAGGCCGGCGGCCACCUCUUCGUCGAGUGGAGCGUCGCCGUCAGCGUCGUCUCCGACUGCCUCCCCUCCUACACCUCCGACGACAACUCCGCCAUCGUCGCCACCGACUCCAUCAAGAACACCGUGUAUGUGAAGGCCAAGGAGUGCACGGAGGUGGUGUCCAUGGAGGAAUUCGCGGUCAUCCUCGGGAGGCAUUUCACCUCACUGUACUCGCAGGUCUCAGAGGCUACAGUGACAAUCGUGGAGCGCCCGUGGGAGCGUGUGGCUGUGGACGGGAAGCCCCAUUCGCAUGGGUUCAAACUUGGUUCUGAAAAGCACACCACUGAGGUCAACGUGAAGAAGUCUGGAAGCCUGCUUAUAAAUUCUGGGAUACAAGGAUACUCCCUGCUAAAGACAACUCAGUCUGGAUUUGAAGGAUUUGUGAGGGACCGCUACACUCUUCUUCCUGAAACAAGAGAAAGAAUUGUAGCAACAGAAGUAACUGCUUGGUGGAGGUAUCCGUUCGAGCAUAUUUCCCAGCUUCCGUCAAAGCCAUUUUGCUUCACACAAAGAUACCAGGAUGUAAAGAAAGUUCUCGCAGACACAUUCUUUGGUCCACCUGAUGUUGGUGUAUAUAGCCCAUCAGUGCAGAAUACAUUAUACCUCAUGGCUAGGGAAGUUCUUACCAGGUUCCCAGACAUAGCAUCUGUUCAGCUUAGGAUGCCAAACCUCCACUUUAUUCCCGUGAACCUAGGGGGCAAAGAAAAUCCAGGAUUGGUGAAGUUUGCUGAUGAUGUGUACAUGCCGACUGACGAACCACAUGGAACCAUCGAAGCAACGUUGAGCCGCGCCAACUCAAAGCUGUAA